Molecule: ribosomal RNA, 880 nt
Filed under: uncultured bacterium
Lineage: Bacteria
Description: bacterial SSU rRNA
Rfam family: Bacterial small subunit ribosomal RNA
Source: RNAcentral
UUUGGACAGGCAGUAGAGUACUUAAAGACUCGAGAACGGUAGAAGUAGAGGGAAUUCCCCGUGGAGCGGUGAAAUGCAUAGAUACGGGGAGGAACACCAGAGGCGAAAGCGCUCUACUAGGCCGUGUCUGACACUGAGGGACGACAGCUAGAGGAGUGAAUAGGAUUAGAUACCCUAGUAAUUCUAGCCGUAAACGAUGAACACUAAGUAUCGGUAAACCGGUGCUGUAGCUUACGCAUUAAGUGUUCCGCCUGGGGAGUAUGCUCGCAAGAGUGAAACUCAAAGGAAUUGACGGGAAUUGGCACAAGCGGUGGAUUUUGUGGUUUAAUUUGAUGCUACGCGGAGAACCUUACCAGGGAUUGACAUGUCAAGAAUAACCUAGAAAUAGGUUAGUGCUUCCUAUUCAAAUAGAAAGAACUUGAACACAGGUGGUGCAUGGCUGUCGUCAGCUCGUGCCGUGAGGUGUUUUUGUUAAGUCAAUUAACGAGCGCAACCCUUGUCUUUAGUUAACAUCUUUAAAGAGACUGCCGAAGCAAUUCGGAGGAAGGAGAGGAUGACGUCAAGUCGGCAUGCCCCUUACAUCCUGGGCUACACACGCAAUACAAUGGUUGAGACAAUCGGCAGCAAACUCGUGAGAGGAAGCGAAUCUGGUAAACUCAAUCUCAGUUCGGAUUGUAGGCUGCAACUCGCCUACAUGAAGUUGGAAUCGCUAGUAAUCGCCGGUCAGCUAUACGGCGGUGAAUACGUUCCCCAAUUUUGUACAUACCGCCCGUCACGCGGGAAAAGUCGGAAACACCCGAAAGAGUUAACUCUAACAGUUUUCUGAAGAGGGCUACUACGGUGAAGCUGGCAAUUCGUGCGAAGUCGUAACAAGGUAGCC